GGGGUCGUAGCCCAAUCGGCAGAGGCAACGGUUUUAGGUACCGUACAGCGCGAGUUCGAAUCUCGUCGACCCCACCA
This 77-nucleotide transfer RNA is filed under the name Microbispora amethystogenes. RNAcentral's name for it is "tRNA-Leu". It matches the Rfam family "tRNA". Rfam says of the family: Transfer RNA (tRNA) molecules are approximately 80 nucleotides in length. Their secondary structure includes four short double-helical elements and three loops (D, anti-codon, and T loops). The record is from RNAcentral. Lineage: Bacteria; Bacillati; Actinomycetota; Actinomycetes; Streptosporangiales; Streptosporangiaceae. RNAcentral also lists the same sequence under 1 other name.